UGUUUCCGAAACUCAAAUCCCCUGCCUGAGUUUGUAAACCAAGGCCUUCUUCUUUGGAAUCAGACAAGUGAGCUUUGUGUGGGAAAAGAAAGACCUAAUACAACCCACCGGAUCGCAAUCAAGGAUCCAAGAUAUAAAUUGGAACGCAGCAUCGUAUGAUAGCCUUAAGAACGCUGAAGUAAUGAGUCCACUGAUCAUCGUCUCCCAUUGUCCCGAGCUGCAUUAUGGAAUGGUGCAGUGAGAAGCAAGAAUGCCCAUUUUGUCGUACACCCAACACCCAUUCGAGUUUAUUUUGUUUGUACAACUCUGAUUUUUAAGCUCAAAUGAAGAUCAACAAGGACACAACAGUGCAAAAAUACAUGAAAAGCAAAGGAAGAUGAUAGGUCCAAAUAGUCCACACCAGCUUCUUUAGUGACAACUUGGGACGAUAACAUAUUCUACAAGAAUGACAUCUGUUUUGUCUUAAGACAUGGAAGUAAGAUCAUCAAGUACUGAGUAGACACCAAGA
This is a long non-coding RNA of Brassica napus (rape), 508 nucleotides long. RefSeq lists it as uncharacterized. The transcript has 4 exons. The record is from RefSeq and is a predicted model, not a curated record. Lineage: Eukaryota; Viridiplantae; Streptophyta; Magnoliopsida; Brassicales; Brassicaceae.